AUACGGAGGAUCCGAGCGUUAUCCGGAUUUAUUGGGUUUAAAGGGAGCGUAGGCGGACGCUUAAGUCAGUUGUGAAAGUUUGCGGCUCAACCGUAAAAUUGCAGUUGAUACUGGGUGUCUUGAGUACAGUAGAGGCAGGCGGAAUUCGUGGUGUAGCGGUGAAAUGCUUAGAUAUCACGAAGAACUCCGAUCGCGAAGGCAGCUCACCGGGCCGGAACUGACACUGAUGCUCGAAAGUGCGGGUAUCAAACAGGAUUAGAUACCCUGGUAGUCCGCACAGUAAACGAUGAAUACUCGCUGUUUGCGAUACACUGUAAGCGGCCAAGCGAAAGCGUUAAGUAUUCCACCUGGGGAGUACGCCGGCAACGGUGAAACUCAAAGGAAUUGACGGGG
Molecule: ribosomal RNA, 393 nt
Filed under: uncultured bacterium
Lineage: Bacteria
Description: partial 16S ribosomal RNA
Rfam family: Bacterial small subunit ribosomal RNA
Source: RNAcentral